Molecule: non-coding RNA, 69 nt
Organism: Phthorimaea operculella (potato tuberworm)
Lineage: Eukaryota; Metazoa; Arthropoda; Insecta; Lepidoptera; Gelechiidae
Source: the annotation of a GenBank genome assembly
GUCCGCUACCUCAGUCGGUAGAGCGGUGGAACGGUGAUCCACAGUCCCGGGUUCAAGUCCCGGCAGUCG